This is a long non-coding RNA of Oreochromis niloticus (Nile tilapia), 2463 nucleotides long. RefSeq lists it as uncharacterized. The transcript is spliced from 3 exons. The record is from RefSeq and is a predicted model, not a curated record. NCBI's taxonomy places the organism in Eukaryota, Metazoa, Chordata, Actinopteri, Cichliformes, Cichlidae.
UGACGCAACUGUUGUUGUGAUUAGGUGCUAUAUAAAUAAAAUUGAAUUGAAUUGAAUUCAAAUAAAAAUGUAUUUAAAAGAUAAGUUUUACAAGUGAACUUAGAAUGGGAUAUCAGAUUAGAACAGUCUCUAAAAUAUAAUAUUUAAUGUAUUAAAUAAAUCCAAUGAUUUACAGAAAAUAAUAAUAAGUUUCUUUCGAUAAAUCUGAGAAAGUCAUUUUGGGUCGAUACUCAUGAUAUUUUUCCACAACAAUCUUGGUGACGAGGAUGAGAUUUCUUGAGUGAUUUUUGUUCUCUGCUUUCAUUUUGAUUCCAGGAAACCUGCAGGUAGACUCAAUGAGUCUGAAAGAGCACUCAUGUCCCAGCAAAGUAUGGAGAAGGCGAGUGCAGGCAACUGAGGUCAGACUGAGUCACCACUGAAAUCUCAAUUAUUUCUGAUUUUAUUGAGGGUUUUUAAGGGGCAAGUAUGAUUUAAGAAAUGUAAACUUACUCGGUGUUUGGUAAGGGUGUCAGCCAUUCAGGGAAAAAUUCUGUAAACCGACGAGCACCUGAUUAAACUACAAGGGUGCGCCUUGAGAGGUUCAGAAGUUUUAUUUUAUUCUUUUCAUUGUUGGUUGUUCAGUGUGUUGUUUAUACAGUUAAGAUGUCCUUUUGUAAUAAUUACAGUUGGAUCAAAAUCACCUCACAAAAUGGUAUAAGAAAAAACACGUUUUGAUAAAAUUAUAAAGUGUGGUAAGUGAUAGUAAAGUAAUGAAAUAUAUAAGAAACUCAAAUGUGUAAAAUUAUAAAGUAAUAUUGCAAAACCUAGUAUGAACCAUAACUAAGGUUAAAUUACUAUGACGUCCGCUCCAAAUUUGUCAACAGAUGCUGGGAUCAGCAAAAAUGGUGCCAGGAGUUUCAUACAGAUGUGGUGAGAAGUUUAGAGGCUCUUAUCAUGAAUAUGAAUGUUAUGGUAAUUUGAGGCUUUUAGUGAUUUCUCUAACUUUACAGUUUACAUUUUAAUGACUUUAAAAAGGAAGAUUUGGGUGCAGAAGUUUGAACUUAGUUUUAGAUUCUCUCUUAUCCAUACAGGGUGAAAAUUAUACAUACAGGCUCAAGUUUAUGCAUGCACCCCACCUUGAGCUUAUAUUAAGAUAACAAUGAAUUAAUAUCAGUAGAUAGGAAUACAAACUUCAGUCUAAGUUAAAAAACAAAAACAAACACACUUCUAAUCAUACUCAGCUUGAAUCUGAAUAAAAAGAAGCAGAAUAAAAAAAUAUCCAUUUCCUGAUGCCUACAUUAAAGUGUAGGGAACACCUAAAAUGUCCAAUUGUAACUUGAUAUACAAUGAAAAAUCACCUAACUUGUCUUUGAAUUAUGUAUUUAUUUAAGCAAAUAAAAAAUAAUUUGAUAAUGUCAUGUGGUGAAAUUUUUAUUAACCAGUCUGGUUUAAGAACUACUUGCACUAGGGCGUGUGACGUAUUUCCGUUUCCAAAUACUACCGCUUGGACGUUUCCGGUAUGUUUGUUUAUCUAUCGGUAGCUAUGCUAAUGUCACUUCAGAAUGAGUAUAAAAAGGAAAGUACUUAAAACAGAACAUUUUCAAAAACAGGAGAAGAAAUACUCCGAGCAUUGCUGUGUCCCACUUUGUUCGGCUUCAGCCAAAUUUAACGGCAUACCAAGUUUUCAUGCCUUUCCGACCCAUUCCGACUUGAGAAGACAACGGCUGGUAAAUAUACGCCGGGAUCAUUUCACGAUUACCUCUCACACCAGGGUCUGCAGCAGACACUUUGCCAGUGAUCAACUCAUAGAGCCAACAACCCUUGAUGGUCGAAGGCGGCUUAUUAAAGGUGCUGUACCAACACUUUUUGAGUGGAAUGGCUAUAAAGUUGAACCACGCGGCGUAGUGUUUGGGAGAGAACGGAGCGACGCCCUGAACUAUUUCCUCCUGACGAUCAAGAAGAGCACAGUCUUACAAUAGAUCAUGACUACUGCUCAGUCCCUGAGCCGUCUGCAUUAGACAUAUCUGCAUCAGCUGCAGAAGACCUGUCCAAAGACGUGGAGACUCUGAGGAAGGAAAUGCAGGAGUUACGUGUCCAGCGAGAAUUUGGGUUACAGCGUUUUGCUGGCGCUGACACGGACAUCCGAUUCUACACCAGAUUUCCAAGCUAUGAUCAUUUGAUGGCAUUUUGGUUUUUGAUUGAGCCUUGCAUCUAUAAAAUGAUCCGGGUUUCAAGCGCCAAGUCAGCUGCCAAUAGGAACGAAGAAGUGUUGACACCUGCACGCACAUCAACGAGGCAGCUGCUACAGCCAAUUGACGAGUUCUUUCUUGUCCUGGUUUUCCUGUCAGUUGGUUUGAAGGAGAGGGACCUGGCACACCGAUUUAACAUACACCAGUCCACAGUGAGCCGCAUUAUUGCAACAUGAACAAAUUUUCUUGCCACUGCACUGGGGUCUCAAUGCAUUUGGCUUACAUGUGAAGAAGU